Molecule: unclassified non-coding RNA, 23 nt
Filed under: Mus musculus (house mouse)
Lineage: Eukaryota; Metazoa; Chordata; Mammalia; Rodentia; Muridae
Description: oocyte_clustered_small_RNA1352
Source: RNAcentral
UUCCACUCAUCAGAGGCCUUAAG